RNAcentral lists this unclassified non-coding RNA (379 nucleotides) under Hevea brasiliensis (rubber tree). Lineage: Eukaryota; Viridiplantae; Streptophyta; Magnoliopsida; Malpighiales; Euphorbiaceae. The record is from RNAcentral.
UAAUGAUUCUUAAUAAAAUUAGCAUUACUGUUAGCUUCUAUGUAUGUAUGAAUACAAUUGAAAGAUUUACAUUGAUUAGUUAACUCUUAAAAGAUUCACAUUUCUGUCCACUGCAUAGGACACUGAAUAUAUGGUACGGUGUUGAGCAGGUGAUAUAUGUAUUUAACGAUCAAAUACUUGACCCUGAAUGAUGUAUGAUCCACUGUGUCACACCCUUGCUGAUAGUAGCUAACACACUUCACUGAAUCCCCUCCAAAUGUCACCACUUUUUCAUUGGUUGACAAUUUAUACCUCAAUAUUGUACUCUCUAGACCACAAAGGACCACAAAGGUAUAAACUAAUUGACAAUUUAUACCUUUGUGAAUUUUGAUACAAGAUG